RNAcentral lists this ribosomal RNA (253 nucleotides) under uncultured bacterium. RNAcentral describes it as "partial 16S ribosomal RNA". It matches the Rfam family "Bacterial small subunit ribosomal RNA", at positions 524 to 776 of the family's 1533-position model. The record is from RNAcentral.
UACGGAGGGUGCAAACGUUGCUCGGAAUCAUUGGGCGUAAAGCGCACGUAGGCGGUCUGUUAAGUCGGGUGUGAAAGCCCUCGGCUCAACCGAGGAAGUGCAUUCGAAACUGGCAGGCUGGAGUACUGGAGAGGAUGACGGAAUUCCCGGUGUAGAGGUGAAAUUCGUAGAUAUCGGGAGGAACACCAGCGGCGAAGGCGGUCAUCUGGACAGAUACUGAUGCUGAGGUGCGAAAGCGUGGGGAGCAAACAGG